This 106-nucleotide small nuclear RNA is filed under the name Nicotiana sylvestris (wood tobacco). The record is from RNAcentral. Lineage: Eukaryota; Viridiplantae; Streptophyta; Magnoliopsida; Solanales; Solanaceae.
AAUAACAUUUGUCCCUUCUCCGAUAAUAUUAGAACGAUACAGAGAAGAUUAGCAUGGCCCCUGCGCAAGGUUGACAUGCACAAAUCGAGAAAUGAUCCAAUUUUUG